CGAAUCUAUCUUUAAUUUUGGUUCUGACUUUUUCGGUGAAGAGAGGAGGGAGACCACUAAUGAAUCACUCCUUCCAGAAGUCAUUGUUACAGUCAGGUCGGAUCAUGACCUUUACCAGGAAGGUAUCUUUGUACCAUCGAAAGUCUGCUAAGUCUUUGCAGGUGAGAUUGUUGAGGAUCUCUAGGCUCCUAUCUUGGAAUAAUUUUGGUUCUCCUAUGAAGUGUCUAGCUAUAUGGUAUAGGAGAGUGGCACAAGCGUCUUCUUUUGCUACUUGCUCAAGAAUUUGUUGUCCAUUUUCAGUCUUAACAACAGUUUCUACGGCUGUGGCUCCAUAGAUUAAGUUUUUGACAUCAUCGGUGAAGUAAUUAUCCCACCAAUGUUU
Molecule: long non-coding RNA, 382 nt
Filed under: Capsicum annuum
Lineage: Eukaryota; Viridiplantae; Streptophyta; Magnoliopsida; Solanales; Solanaceae
Description: long non-coding RNA (CANN_LNC011325)
Source: RNAcentral